This 253-nucleotide ribosomal RNA is filed under the name uncultured bacterium. RNAcentral describes it as "partial 16S ribosomal RNA". It matches the Rfam family "Bacterial small subunit ribosomal RNA", at positions 524 to 776 of the family's 1533-position model. The record is from RNAcentral.
UACGAAGGGGGCUAGCGUUGCUCGGAAUCACUGGGCGUAAAGGGUGCGUAGGCGGGUCUUUAAGUCAGGGGGGAAAUCCUGGAGCUCAACUCCAGAACUGCCUUUGAUACUGAGGAUCUUGAGUCCGGGAGAGGUGAGUGGAACUGCGAGUGUAGAGGUGAAAUUCGUAGAUAUUCGCAAGAACACCAGUGGCGAAGGCGGCUCACUGGCCCGGUACUGACGCUGAGGUGCGAAAGCCAGGGGAGCAAACGGG